This 460-nucleotide ribosomal RNA is filed under the name uncultured bacterium. RNAcentral describes it as "partial 16S ribosomal RNA". It matches the Rfam family "Bacterial small subunit ribosomal RNA", at positions 338 to 795 of the family's 1533-position model. The record is from RNAcentral.
CCUACGGGAGGCAGCAGUGAGGAAUAUUGGUCAAUGGACGAGAGUCUGAACCAGCAAAGUAGCGUGAAGGAUGACUGCCCUAUGGGUUGUAAACUUCUUUUAUAAAGGAAUAAAACGAGGCACGUGUGCCUUUUUGCAUGUACUUUAUGAAUAAGGAUCGGCUAACUCCGUGCCAGCAGCCGCGGUAAUACGGAGGAUCCGAGCGUUAUCCGGAUUGAUUGGGUUUAAAGGGAGCGUAGAUGGGUUGUUAAGUCAGUUGUGAAAGUUUGCGGAUCAACCGUAAAAUUGCAAUUGAUACUGGCAGUCUUGAGUACAGUUGAGGUAGGCGGAAUUCGUGGUGUAGCGGUGAAAUGCUUAGAUAUCACGAAGAACCCCGAUUGCGAAGGCAGCUUACUAAACUGUGACUGACAUUGAUGCUCGAAAGUGUGGGUAUCAAACAGGAUUAGAUACCCUAGUAGUC